GGUCGCGUGGCCAAAUGGCAAGGCGUCUGGCUACGAACCAGAAGAUGUGGGUUCGAUCCCCACCGUGACCU
Molecule: transfer RNA, 71 nt
Filed under: Cordyceps fumosorosea ARSEF 2679
Lineage: Eukaryota; Fungi; Ascomycota; Sordariomycetes; Hypocreales; Cordycipitaceae
Description: Isaria fumosorosea ARSEF 2679 tRNA
Rfam family: tRNA
About the family: Transfer RNA (tRNA) molecules are approximately 80 nucleotides in length.
Source: Rfam by way of RNAcentral